Molecule: ribosomal RNA, 464 nt
Filed under: uncultured bacterium
Lineage: Bacteria
Description: partial 16S ribosomal RNA
Rfam family: Bacterial small subunit ribosomal RNA
Source: RNAcentral
ACGAACGCUGGCGGCGUGCUUCACCCAUGCCAGUCGUACGGUAAGGCCCUUUCGGGGGUACACGAGUGGCGAACGGGUGAGUAACACGUGAGUAACCUGCCCACAACUUUGGGAUAACGCUAGGAAACUGGUGCUAAUACUGGAUAUGUGCUCCUGCUGCAUGGUGGGGGUUGGAAAGCUCCGGCGGUUGUGGAUGGACUCGCGGCCUAUCAGCUUGUUGGUGGGGUAGUGGCCUACCAAGGCGGCGACGGGUAGCCGGCCUGAGAGGGUGACCGGCCACAUUGGGACUGAGAUACGGCCCAGACUCCUACGGGAGGCGGCAGUGGGGAAUAUUGCACAAUGGGCGCAAGCCUGAUGCAGCAACGCCGCGUGCGGGAUGACGGCCUUCGGGUUGUAAACCGCUUUCAGCAGGGACGAAGCUUUUUGUGACGGUACCUGCAGAAGAAGCACCGGCUAACUACGUG